GUCAGGUGUGGUGAUGCACGCCUGCAGUGCCAGCUACUUGGGAGGCUGAGGUAGGAGGAUCACUUGAGCCCAGGAGUUCAGGGCUGCAGUGAGCGACGAUCACGCCACUGCACUCCAGCCUGGGUGACAAAGUGAGACCCUGCCUCAA
Unclassified non-coding RNA from Pongo abelii (Sumatran orangutan), 148 nucleotides. It matches the Rfam family "Metazoan signal recognition particle RNA". From Rfam's summary of the family: The signal recognition particle (SRP) is a universally conserved ribonucleoprotein. Lineage: Eukaryota; Metazoa; Chordata; Mammalia; Primates; Hominidae. The record is from Ensembl.